GCGGGGAUAGCUCAGUUGGGAGAGCGUCAGACUGAAGCCACACUUCAAUCUUGUCAUCUGAAGGUCGUGCGUUCGAUCCGCACUCACCGCA
This is a non-coding RNA of Xylariomycetidae sp. FL0641, 91 nucleotides long. The record is from the annotation of a GenBank genome assembly. Lineage: Eukaryota; Fungi; Ascomycota; Sordariomycetes.